UUGGACCGUGGCUGUAGUGGCCGGUCUGAAAUGCAUAGGCUAUGGGACAAGUGCCAUCAGCGACAGAUUGUAGACAUAUCUUGUAUACCCCGUCGUGGCCGUCAUCUCUGUGUCUUCGAAAAUGUUGGGACUCUUCACCGUGUCUCUUAACCUUUGACAAUUUGACCUCAAAUCGGGUGGGACUACCCGCUGAACUUAAGCAUAUCAAUAAGCGGAGGAAAAGAAACUAACAAGGAUUCCCCUAGUAACGGCGAGUGAAGAGGGAAAAGCUCAAAUUUUGAAUCUGGCGUCUUUGACUCCCGAGUUGUAAUCUAGAGAAGUGUUUUCCGCGUCGGACCGUGUACAAGUUCCCUGGAACGGGGCGUCAUAGAGGGUGAGAAUCCCGUAUAUGCCACGGACUACCUUCGCUCUGUGAUACACUCUCAACGAGUCGAGUUGUUUGGGAAUGCAGCUCAAAAAGGGUGGUAAAUUCCAUCUAAAGCUAAAUAUUGGCGAGAGACCGAUAGCGAACAAGUACCGUGAGGGAAAGAUGAAAAGCACUUUGGAAAGAGAGUGAAACAGUACGUGAAAUUGUUGAAAGGGAAGCGUUUGAAGUCAGUCGCG
RNAcentral lists this ribosomal RNA (603 nucleotides) under uncultured Sebacinales. RNAcentral describes it as "eukaryotic LSU rRNA". The stretch from base 163 to 603 matches the Rfam family "Eukaryotic large subunit ribosomal RNA", at positions 1 to 437 of the family's 3401-position model. The record is from RNAcentral. Lineage: Eukaryota; Fungi; Basidiomycota; Agaricomycetes; Sebacinales.